GUAAUUCCAGCUCCAAUAGCGUAUAUUAAAGUUGUUGCAGUUAAAAAGCUCGUAGUUGAAUUUCGGGAUUGACACAUCGGUCGUGCCUUAAGGGGUAUGAACUGGUGUAGUCAAUUUCUCACCUUCUGGAGAACCGCGAUGUCCUUAAUUGGGUGCCGCGAGGAACCAGGAUCUUUACUUUGAAAAAAUUAGAGUGUUUAAAGCAGGCAUUUUUGCUUGAAUACAUUAGCAUGGAAUAAUAAAAUAGGACGGCAUGAUUCUAUUUUGUUGGUUUCUAGGAUCACCGUAAUGAUUAAUAGGGAUAGUUGGGGGCAUUAGUAUUCAAUUGUCAGAGGUGAAAUUCUUGGAUUUAUUGAAGACUAACUACUGCGAAAGCAUUUGCCAAGGAUGUUUUCAUUAAUCAAGAACGAAAGUUAGGGGAUCGAAGACGAUCAGAUACCGUCGUAGUCUUAACCAUAAACUAUGCCGACUAGGAAU
RNAcentral lists this ribosomal RNA (477 nucleotides) under uncultured Glomus. Its description in RNAcentral is "SSU rRNA". It matches the Rfam family "Eukaryotic small subunit ribosomal RNA", at positions 579 to 1053 of the family's 1831-position model. The record is from RNAcentral. Lineage: Eukaryota; Fungi; Glomeromycota; Glomeromycetes; Glomerales; Glomeraceae.